GACAGAGGUGCCAAGCGUUAGGCGGAAUCACUGGGCUUAAAGCGUGUGUAGGCGGCAUGGUAAGUACCUUGUGAAAUCCCACGGCUCAACCGUGGAACUGCUUGGUAUACUGCUUUUCUUGAGCCACUUAGGGGCAACCGGAACAAACGGUGGAGCGGUGAAAUGCGUAGAUAUCGUUUGGAACGCCAAUGGUGAAAACAGGUUGCUGGGAGUGUGCUGACGCUGAGACACGAAAGCCAGGGGAGCAAACGGG
RNAcentral lists this ribosomal RNA (253 nucleotides) under uncultured bacterium. RNAcentral's name for it is "partial 16S ribosomal RNA". It matches the Rfam family "Bacterial small subunit ribosomal RNA", at positions 524 to 776 of the family's 1533-position model. The record is from RNAcentral.